GACGAACGCUGGCGGCGUGCUUAACACAUGCAAGUCGAACGCUGAACCCGCUUCGGUGGGGGAUGAGUGGCGAACGGGUGAGUAACACGUGGGCAACCUGCCCCCGGCUCUGGGAUAACUCCAAGAAAUUGGGGCUAAUACCGGAUGUGACCGCUGGCCGCAUGGUCUGGUGGUGGAAAGGGUUUCCGGCUGGGGAUGGGCCCGCGGCCUAUCAGCUUGUUGGUGGGGUAGUGGCCUACCAAGGCGACGACGGGUAGCCGGCCUGAGAGGGUGACCGGCCACACUGGGACUGAGACACGGCCCAGACUCCUACGGGAGGCAGCAGUGGGGAAUAUUGCGCAAUGGGCGGAAGCCUGACGCAGCGACGCCGCGUGGGGGAUGACGGCCUUCGGGUUGUAAACCUCUUUCAGCAGGGACGAAGCGCAAGUGACGGUACCCGCAGAAGAAGCACCGGCCAACUACGUG
This 465-nucleotide ribosomal RNA is filed under the name uncultured bacterium. RNAcentral's name for it is "partial 16S ribosomal RNA". It matches the Rfam family "Bacterial small subunit ribosomal RNA", at positions 28 to 507 of the family's 1533-position model. The record is from RNAcentral.